UGAACGCUGGCGGCAGGCCUAACACAUGCAAGUCGAGAGGCAGCGGGUAGAAAGCUUGCUUUCUAUGCCGGCGAGCGGCGGACGGGUGAGUAAUACCUAGGAAUCUGUCCAUUAGUGGGGAAUAACCAGCCGAAAGGUUGGCUAAUACCGCAUACGCCCUACGGGGAAAGGGGGGAGUCUUCGGACCUCUCGCUAAUGGGGGAGCCUAGGUCGGAUUAGCUAGUUGGUGGGGUAAAGGCCUACCAAGGCGACGAUCCGUAGUUGGUCUGACGAGGAUGACCAGCCACACUGGGACUGAGAUACGGCCCAGACUCCUACGGGAGGCAGCAGUGGGGAACUAUUGCACAAUGGGCGAAA
This 357-nucleotide ribosomal RNA is filed under the name uncultured bacterium. Its description in RNAcentral is "bacterial SSU rRNA". It matches the Rfam family "Bacterial small subunit ribosomal RNA", at positions 30 to 380 of the family's 1533-position model. The record is from RNAcentral.